RNAcentral lists this ribosomal RNA (253 nucleotides) under uncultured bacterium. RNAcentral describes it as "partial 16S ribosomal RNA". It matches the Rfam family "Bacterial small subunit ribosomal RNA", at positions 524 to 776 of the family's 1533-position model. The record is from RNAcentral.
UACGGAGGGAGCUAGCGUUGUUCGGAAUUACUGGGCGUAAAGCGCACGUAGGCGGCUUUGUAAGUUAGAGGUGAAAGCCUGGGGCUCAACUCCAGAACUGUCUUUAAGACUGCAUCGCUUGAAUCCAGGAGAGGUGAGUGGAAUUCCGAGUGUAGAGGUGAAAUUCGUAGAUAUUCGGAAGAACACCAGUGGCGAAGGCGGCUCACUGGACUGGUAUUGACGAUGAGGUGCGAAAGAGUGGGGAGCAAACAGG